AGUGAACGCUGGCGGUAGGCCUAACACAUGCAAGUCGAACGGCAGCACAGUAAGAGCUUGCUCUUACGGGUGGCGAGUGGCGGACGGGUGAGGAAUACAUCGGAAUCUACUUUUUCGUGGGGGAUAACGUAGGGAAACUUACGCUAAUACCGCAUACGACCUACGGGUGAAAGCAGGGGAUCUUCGGACCUUGCGCGAUUGAAUGAGCCGAUGUCGGCUUAGCUAGUUGGCGGGGUAAAGGCCCACCAAGGCGACGAUCCGUAGCUGGUCUGAGAGGAUGAUCAGCCACACUGGAACUGAGACACGGUCCAGACUCCUACGGGAGGCAGCAGUGGGGAAUAUUGGACAAUGGGCGCAAGCCUGAUCCAGCCAUACCGCGUAGGUGAAGAAGGCCUUCGGGUUGUAAAGCCCUUUUGUUGGGAAAGAAAAGCAGCAGGUUAAUACCCCGCUGUUCUGACGGUACCCAAAGAAUAAGCACCGGCUAACUUCGU
This 491-nucleotide ribosomal RNA is filed under the name uncultured bacterium. Its description in RNAcentral is "partial 16S ribosomal RNA". It matches the Rfam family "Bacterial small subunit ribosomal RNA", at positions 29 to 506 of the family's 1533-position model. The record is from RNAcentral.